GCUAGUUGGAGAGGUAACGGCUCACCAAGGCGACGAUGCGUAGCCGACCUGAGAGGGUGAACGGCCACAUUGGAACUGAGAAACGGUCCAGACUCCUACGGGAGGCAGCAGUGGGGAAUAUUGCACAAUGGAGGAAACUCUGAUGCAGCAACGCCGCGUGAGUGAAGAAGGUCUUCGGAUUGCAAAGCUCUGUUAAUCGGGACGAAAUAUGACGGUACCGAUAGAGGAAGCCACGGCUAACUACGUGCCAGCAGCCGCGGUAAUACGUAGGUGGCGAGCGUUGUCCGGAAUUACUGGGCGUAAAGGAUGCGUAGGUGGAUAAUUAAGUCAGAUGUGAAAAUCCCGGGCUCAACUUGGGAACUGCAUUUGAAACUGAAUAUCUAGAGUGCAGGAGAGGAAAGCGGAAUUCCUAGUGUAGCGGUGAAAUGCGUAGAUAUUAGGAAGAACACCAGUGGCGAAGGCGGCUUUCUGGACUGUAACUGACACUGAGGCAUGAAAGCGUGGGGAGCAAACAGGAUUAGAUACCCUGGUAGUCCACGCUGUAAACGAUGGGUACUAGGUGUGGGAGGUAUCGACUCCUUCCGUGCCGCAGUUAACACAAUA
RNAcentral lists this ribosomal RNA (603 nucleotides) under uncultured bacterium. Its description in RNAcentral is "bacterial SSU rRNA". It matches the Rfam family "Bacterial small subunit ribosomal RNA", at positions 244 to 862 of the family's 1533-position model. The record is from RNAcentral.